AGUUAUGGGAUUUUUGGUGUGGGUGAGUUUGAGAGAGUAUGAGUGUUUGGGAGGGGAGGGAGGUUGAGGAUGAUGAAAAUCGAGGGUUGUGGGCUAGGUUUAGGGUCGUCCGGUUCGGUUUAGGUGGGAAGGGACCGGUCCAAUUAAAUUCAAACCAGGGUUAGAUCGAAAAUCACUUACCUGAACCAGUCGUGGAGCGACCUCGGCACGUCGCUCCGGGACGUCGCUCUCAAAUCGACACUAACCGA
RNAcentral lists this long non-coding RNA (248 nucleotides) under Brassica napus (rape). Its description in RNAcentral is "long non-coding RNA (BNAP_LNC021397)". The record is from RNAcentral. Lineage: Eukaryota; Viridiplantae; Streptophyta; Magnoliopsida; Brassicales; Brassicaceae.